AGGGGCCCGGGCUGGGACAGUGAAGAGUGCUGGGCAGUCUGUGGUCCUCUCUACCUCAACUUUUUCAUCUUAAAAAAACAAAUAGGGUUGUGUGUGUGGCUGGUGGUCAUAAGGUCCUUUCUGGCUCUAAUAACCUGAGCUUCUGUUAUGAAGCUGGGACCCUUAGAGCCUCAGAAUGAUCCUCUGUUUGUGAAGCCCCCAUCAGGUGCUAAGCACCAUGGUGGCACUUAGCUGAAGCUCCUCUGUAACUCCUGUGGGCCCUGCCUUGCCCACCCCCUGCAGCUGCUGCAGUGCUCCUGAGCAGCACAGGCCUGAUGGAGCUUCUGGAGAAGAUGCUGGCACUCACCUUGGCAAAGGCAGAUUCUCCCAGGACUGCACUCCUCUGCUCUGCCUGGCUGCUCACUGCCUCCUUCUCUGCCCAGCAGCACAGUGGCAGUUUGCAGGUUCACCAGACACUCUCUGUGGAAAUGGACCAAGUAUUGAAGGCUCUCAGCUUUCCAAAGAAAAAGGCUGCACUACUCUCAGCUGCCAUCGUAUGCUUCCUGCGGACAGCCCUGCGACAAAGCUUUUCCUCUGCCCUGGUAGCCCUGGUGCCCUCAGGGGCCCAGCCACUGCCAGCCACCGAGGAUACUGUCCUAGCUCCACUGCGAACAUCACAAGUCCGGUCCCUGGUCAUUGGGCUGCAGAACCUCUUGGUGCAGAAGGACCCUCUAUUGUCCCAGGCCUGUGUUGGCUGCCUGGAGGCCUUGCUUGACUACCUGGAUGCCCGGAGCCCAGACAUCGCUCUCCACGUGGCCUCCCAGCCUUGGAAUCGGUUUUUGCUGUUUACCCUCUUGGAUGCUGGAGAUAAUUCCUUCCUCAGACCUGAGAUUUUGAGGCUCAUGACCCUGUUUAUGCGGUACCGGAGUAGCAGUGUCCUCUCUCAUGAAGAGGUGGGUGAUGUUCUGCAAGGUGUGGCUUUGGCUGACCUGUCUACCCUCUCGAACACCACACUCCAGGCCCUGCAUGGCUUCUUCCAGCAGCUCCAGAGCAUGGGACACCUGGCUGACCACAGCAUGGCCCAGACCCUGCAGGCCUCCUUGGAGGGCCUUCCCCCUAGCACCUCCUCAGGCCAGCCACCCCUGCAGGACAUGCUCUGCCUGGGAGGGGUGGCUGUAUCCCUGUCCCACAUCAGAAACUGAUCCUCA
This 1187-nucleotide small RNA is filed under the name Pongo abelii (Sumatran orangutan). RNAcentral describes it as "processed transcript". Lineage: Eukaryota; Metazoa; Chordata; Mammalia; Primates; Hominidae. The record is from RNAcentral.